AAAAAUUGAAUGUAGGUUUCUGAUUUUGGCGUUUUUUCGUUUGUUUUUUUUUUUUUUUUUUUUUUUUUGACUCCUCUCCUGACGGGGAACAGAACACAAUGCCCUCUGAUGCCGGUUCGAAAAAAAGCGGAACGGAAACAGGAACACCGUCAACUGCGUUUCUUUUCGACUUUUUGGAAAGCACAAUGUCUACCACUUGUAAACAAA
Molecule: non-coding RNA, 207 nt
Filed under: Ctenophora environmental sample
Lineage: Eukaryota; Metazoa; Ctenophora
Source: RNAcentral